AGCAGCCGCGGUAAUUCCAGCUCCAAUAGCGUAUAUUAAAGUUGUUGCAGUUAAAAAGCUCGUAGUUGAAUUUUAGGCUUGACCGGGCGGUCCGUCUCUGGCGAGUACUGUCCUGUUGUCGGGUCUAUCCUUCUGGUGAGCCGGUAUGUCCUUAAUUGGGUGUGUCGGGGAACCAGGACCAUUACCUUGAAAAAAUUAGAGUGUUUAAAGCGGGCUUUUGCUUGAAUAGAUUAGCAUGGAAUAAUAGAAUAGGACGUUGGUUCUAUUUUGUUGGUCUAGGACCACCGUAAUGAUUAAUAGGGAUAGUUGGGGGCAUUAGUAUUCAAUUGUCAGAGGUGAAAUUCUUGGAUUUAUUGAAGACUAACUACUGCGAAAGCAUUUGCCAAGGAUGUUUUCAUUAAUCAAGAACGAAAGUUAGGGGAUCGAAGACGAUCAGAUACCGUCGUAGUCUUAACCAUAAACUAUGCCGACUAGGAAUCGGGCGACGUUACUUUCAUGACUCGCUCGGCGCCUUAUGGGA
RNAcentral lists this ribosomal RNA (520 nucleotides) under uncultured Glomeromycotina. RNAcentral's name for it is "SSU rRNA". It matches the Rfam family "Eukaryotic small subunit ribosomal RNA", at positions 569 to 1095 of the family's 1831-position model. The record is from RNAcentral. Lineage: Eukaryota; Fungi; Glomeromycota.